UACGGGGGGGGCAAGCGUUGUUCGGAAUUACUGGGCGUAAAGGGCUCGUAGGCGGCCAACUAAGUCGGACGUGAAAUCCCUCAGCUUAACUGGGGAACUGCGUCUGAUACUGGAUGGCUUGGAUUUGGGAGAGGGAUGCGGUAUUCCAGGUGUAGCGGUGAAAUGCGUAGAUAUCUGGAGGAACACCGGUGGCGAAGGCGGCAUCCUGGACCAACAUUGACGCUGAGGAGCGAAAGCCAGGGGAGCAAACGGG
This 253-nucleotide ribosomal RNA is filed under the name uncultured bacterium. Its description in RNAcentral is "partial 16S ribosomal RNA". It matches the Rfam family "Bacterial small subunit ribosomal RNA", at positions 524 to 776 of the family's 1533-position model. The record is from RNAcentral.